CCUACGGGCGGCAGCAGUGAGGAAUAUUGGUCAAUGGACGAGAGUCUGAACCAGCCAAGUAGCGUGAAGGAUGACUGCCCUAUGGGUUGUAAACUUCUGUUAUAGGGGAAUAAAAUGUGCCAGGCGUGGGAUUUUGUAUGUACCAUAUGAAUAAGGAUCGGCUAACUCCGUGCAAUCCGCCGCGGUAAUACGGAGGAUCCGAGCGUUAGCCGGAGUUAUUGGGUUUAAAGGGAGCGUCGUUGGAUUGUUAAGUCAGUUGUGAAAGUUUGGGGCUCCACCGUAAAAUUGCCGUUGCAACUGGCAGUCUUGCGUACAGUCGUGGUGGGCGUCAUUCGUGGUGUAGCGGUGACAUGCUUAGAUAUCACGAAGAACUCCGAUUGCGAAUGCAGCUCACUGGACUGCAUCUGACACUGAGGCUCG
This 420-nucleotide ribosomal RNA is filed under the name uncultured bacterium. RNAcentral's name for it is "partial 16S ribosomal RNA". It matches the Rfam family "Bacterial small subunit ribosomal RNA", at positions 338 to 755 of the family's 1533-position model. The record is from RNAcentral.